RNAcentral lists this ribosomal RNA (531 nucleotides) under uncultured Hebeloma. RNAcentral's name for it is "eukaryotic LSU rRNA". The stretch from base 345 to 531 matches the Rfam family "Eukaryotic large subunit ribosomal RNA", at positions 1 to 184 of the family's 3401-position model. Lineage: Eukaryota; Fungi; Basidiomycota; Agaricomycetes; Agaricales; Cortinariaceae. The record is from RNAcentral.
CUUCGCAUCGAUGAAGAACGCAGCGAAAUGCGAUAAGUAAUGUGAAUUGCAGAAUUCAGUGAAUCAUCGAAUCUUUGAACGCACCUUGCGCUCCUUGGUAUUCCGAGGAGCAUGCCUGUUUGAGUGUCAUUAAAUUCUCAACUGUUAUCAACUUUUGCUGAUAAUGGCUUGGAUGUGGGGGUUUAUUUUGCUGGCUUCUCAGAUAGUCAGCUCCCCUUAAAUGCAUUAGCCGGUGCCCCGCGUGGACUGUCUAUUGGUGUGAUAAUUAUCUACGCUAUGGACAUCUGCAAUCAUAUGGGUGUGCACUGCUUCCAACAGUCUGUUAAAGACAAUACAUGACAAUUUGACCUCAAAUCAGGUAGGACUACCCGCUGAACUUAAGCAUAUCAAUAAGCGGAGGAAAAGAAACUAACAAGGAUUCCCCUAGUAACUGCGAGUGAAGCGGGAAAAGCUCAAAUUUAAAAUCUGGCGGUCUCUGACCGUCCGAGUUGUAAUGUAGAAAAACGCAUGAGAAUCCCGUCUUGACACGGA